RNAcentral lists this ribosomal RNA (1346 nucleotides) under uncultured bacterium. RNAcentral's name for it is "bacterial SSU rRNA". It matches the Rfam family "Bacterial small subunit ribosomal RNA", at positions 28 to 1381 of the family's 1533-position model. The record is from RNAcentral.
GACGAACGCUGGCGGCGUGCUUAACACAUGCAAGUCGAACGGAAAGGCCCUGCUUUUGUGGGGUGCUCGAGUGGCGAACGGGUGAGUAACACGUGAGUAACCUGCCCUUGACUUUGGGAUAACUUCAGGAAACUGGGGCUAAUACCGGAUAGGAGCUCCUGCUGCAUGGUGGGGGUUGGAAAGUUUCGGCGGUUGGGGAUGGACUCGCGGCUUAUCAGCUUGUUGGUGGGGUAGUGGCUUACCAAGGCUUUGACGGGUAGCCGGCCUGAGAGGGUGACCGGCCACAUUGGGACUGAGAUACGGCCCAGACUCCUACGGGAGGCAGCAGUGGGGAAUAUUGCACAAUGGGCGGAAGCCUGAUGCAGCAACGCCGCGUGCGGGAUGACGGCCUUCGGGUUGUAAACCGCUUUCGCCUGUGACGAAGCGUGAGUGACGGUAAUGGGUAAAGAAGCACCGGCUAACUACGUGCCAGCAGCCGCGGUGAUACGUAGGGUGCGAGCGUUGUCCGGAUUUAUUGGGCGUAAAGGGCUCGUAGGUGGUUGAUCGCGUCGGAAGUGUAAUCUUGGGGCUUAACCCUGAGCGUGCUUUCGAUACGGGUUGACUUGAGGAAGGUAGGGGAGAAUGGAAUUCCUGGUGGAGCGGUGGAAUGCGCAGAUAUCAGGAGGAACACCAGUGGCGAAGGCGGUUCUCUGGGCCUUUCCUGACGCUGAGGAGCGAAAGCGUGGGGAGCGAACAGGCUUAGACACCCUGGUAGUCCACGCUGUAAACGGUGGGUACUAGGUGUGGGGUCCGUUCCACGGGUUCCGUGCCGUAGCUAACGCUUUAAGUACCCCGCCUGGGGAGUACGGCCGCAAGGCUAAAACUCAAAGGAAUUGACGGGGCCCCGCACAAGCGGCGGAGCAUGCGGAUUAAUUCGAUGCAACGCGUAGAACCUUACCUGGGUUUGACAUGGAUCGGGAGUGCUCAGAGAUGGGUGUGCCUCUUUUGGGGUCGGUUCACAGGUGGUGCAUGCCUGUCGUCAGCUCGUGUCGUGAGAUGUUGGGUUAAGUCCCGCAACGAGCGCAACCCUUGUUCACUGUUGCCAGCACGUUAUGGUGGGGACUCAGUGGAGACCGCCGGGGUCAACUCGGAGGAAGGUGGGGAUGACGUCAAGUCCUCAUGCCCCUUAUGUCCAGGGCUUCACGCAUGCUACAAUGGCUGGUACAGAGAGUGGCGAGCCUGUGAGGGUGAGCGAAUCUCGGAAAGCCGGUCUCAGUUCGGAUUGGGGUCUGCAACUCGACCUCAUGAAGUCGGAGUCGCUAGUAAUCGCAGAUCAGCAACGCUGCGGUGAAUACGUUCCCGGGGCU